UUUGCCUUUCUCGUACACUAAGUGUACUGGAAAGGCUAUAUGUUCACUCCAAAAAUGACUUUUCGAUAGAAGGCCCGGAGGGUCGAGUCACAUAUACCAAUCAACUCAGCUCGAUGAAUUGAGGUGAUGUCUGUGUGUAUGUAUGUGUGUGUGUAUGUAUGUGUGUAUGUGUGUGUAAAAAAACUCACAUCACUUUUUGGCAGUAAACCUCAUCCGAUUUCAAUGACCGACGGUUCAUUCGACGCGGAAUCUGGUCCCAUUGUUUCCUAUUGAAAAUGGUUCGAAUCGGUCCAGCCGUUCCGGAGAUAUGGCCAUUUAGGUGUUCCGGAACGGUACCCCAGGAAGGGACCAGAUAUGAAAAUGCAUCAAACCUAUGCAUGCGACACAUCAAACCACGGCAUUUUCAAUAACCUGAUGAGCGGUAAGCAGGAAAAUAGUCUCAGACCAUAUCUGAACCGGUAGUGUUCCCGAACCGGUUCUGGGCGUCCCGCUGGAAGUGGCCAAAUAUGCAAUUGAACCAAACCCAUGCAUGCGACACAUCAAACCACGGCAUUUUCGAUGACCUGAUGGACAAUGAGCAGGAAAAUCAUCCCAGACCAUAUCUGAACCGGUAGUGUUCCGGAACCGGUUCUAGGCGUUCCACUGGAAGUGGCCAAAAAUACAAUUGAACCAAACCAAUGCAUGUGACACAUCAAACCACGGCAUUUUCGAUGACCUGAUGGACAAUGAGCAGGAAAAUCAUCUUAGACCAUAUUUGAACCAGUAGUGUUCCGGAACCGGUUCCGGGGUUCCCGCCGAAGUGGUCAAAUCUGAAAGAGAAACAAACCCGUACAUGCGUCACAUCAAAUAGCGGCUUUUUAGAUUACCUAAUGAACGGCCAGCAAGUGUUUCGGAAUCGGUUUUGAGUGGCCGGGAGAGGCCAAAUGUAAAAGUAAACCAAAUCCAGGCAUGUGACACAUCAAGUCGUGGCUUUUGCGAUAACCUGAUGAACAGUUAGCUAGAAAAUAGCCUUAGGUCACACUAAAGAAAACUGGUAGUGUUCCGGAAUGGGUUCCGAGAGUCCCGUCGAAAUUGUCAAACUCUGCAUGUGACACCAUCAAUUUGCAGCGUUUUUGGUUAACCGAUGAGCAGUUAACAAGACAAUAAUGUCAGACCAUAUUUGGUUCAGCCGGUAGUUACCCAGAAUCAGAUCCGGGUAGUAAAAUGUAAAAUUUAGCCAAACCCAUGGAUGCGGUGUAUCAAAUCACGACCAGUCUUGUAAACAUUCGACACUUUUCACUACCUUCAUUUCGUUGCCGCAGUCGGGUGUCAGCUUGCUUUGCUACAUUCGUGCGCUACCGUUACCUCUUACCUACACACAACACGAGCAGUAGAACGAAGAUCAAUAAACCUAAGAAAGAGUCAAAUCAAUGUCAUCUGACACGAUGACACGUGUGUAAUUCUAGCAUUAGGCAUAGAUUCUCAGCCAAUUCCGAUUAUGAAUGUUAAUAUGAGUUUAUUCUUGCAUGUUGCAUUGAAUACGGCACACAGAUGGGCAACAUAGCUCUUGUUAUGGAAGAAGACAGGAAUAACAAAAGCCGAACCGUCUUCCGAAGCCGCUAUCGUGGUGAAGUGCAUUCGUUUGACAUUUUUGUUUCGAACAGUAGUUUGAUUGAUUGUGUUGCGAAUACCGGAGACAAAGGAGGCCGAAUAUCGACGAAAAGGUUCAAAUGACUGUGAUCUCUAACAAGACUGAUCACGACUUAUCGACAUCCUGAUGGAAAAAUAGGGUCAGACCCGGUAGUGUUGCGGGUUCAGCUGUGGCUUCGAAGGUGGUUAAAAGUAAAAGUGAAUCAAACUCAUACAUGCGAUAAAUCAAAUCGCGGUGAUUAGGUAAAGGUGAAAAAUAAGCAAUAAAAUAAUCUCAGAUCAUAAUUGGGACAACCGGUAGUGUCAUGGUCCAUGACUCAUGGAAUCAGAUUCGGCUAUCCCACCGGAUAUUACCAAAUAUAAAAAUGAACCAAACCCAUAUAUACGACACAUCAGAUCGCAGAUUUUUUGAUAAUCUAAUGAACGGUUAGCAAGAAAAUAGCCUUAGAUCACAUUAGAGACUAGCUUUUGUGUAGCAGAACCAACGUUCAUGUGAAAAAUUAAAUCGUGGCUUUGUUUAAUGGCCUGAUAAACGUUAGGUAUGAACAACAGUGACGAAUCGGUCUAAGUUCACAUAUAUGAAAGAGAACAAAAUAUAGACAAAACUAAAGCGAUCUCACCAAAUCGCACCAUUUCAGAUUCCUAAGGUGUAAAUUUAUAGCAGGAUGGGUCAACGUUGAAUGGAAAAAUAAAAAUUUGAGCGCGUCAACAGAAGAUGGCGGCUGUUUUAAGGAAUUUUGAGCUCUAAAACUAUGUAAAAUAAAUGUGUUUGGUAUGGGAAAUAUGUUCGGAGUCCACCAGAGUAUCCAAGAUAGCGGUCCAAAAUCCAAGAUAAUGGCCCAGUAUUCAAGUAAGUGCCUAUUUUAUAGGAUGUUUAAUUCUUGCAUUAUGGGCAUAUUUUGUAUGGAGAUAUGUUCAUAUAGCCGAGGCGGUAAACGCACGGGUAUUCAGCAUGACCAUGCUGAGGGUGACGGGUUCGAUUCCCGGUCGGUCCAGGAUCUUUUCGUAAAGGAAAUUUCCUUGACUUCCUUGGGCAUAGAGUAUCUUCGUGCCUGCCACACGAUAUACGCAUGCAAAAUGGUCAUUGGCAGAGGAAGCUCUCAUUAAUAACUGUGGAAGUGCUCAUAGAACACUAAGCUGAGAAGCAGGCUUUGUCCCAAUGAGGACGUUACGCCAAGAAGAGAGAGAGAGAGAACUUCCCUCAGCGUGGGAGUUGGUUCAUUUCCGUCCUCCGCUGAACUGGCAUCGUCGGUUCUUCCGUUGCCGUGGUCCUCUGAUGCAGACGUUCUCCGUGCCAUUCAGGUGCUGAUCAAAGAUCUGCUUCCACCUUUCGAUCACCUCACGUCCGUCCGUCAAAAGGCCUCCGUCCUUAUCCUUGCAUAUUUUGACUCACAGCAGGAAGCCGUCGCCAGGCGGCGCUUUUUCUCCCGAAAGAGGCGAGUCUGCUGUUUCCGCUUAUGGUUGUAACGCUCCGUGUUCUGUCGGGUGUCGGGUGCUGCAGCAUUACCGCCCGUACUGCGUUCUUCUCCUCCAAAACUGUUCUGAACUCUUCGUUGAACCAUUCGUUUCGUCGAUUCCGUUUCACGUAAUCGAUGGUGCUCUCGGCUGCGACGUUGAUGGAUGCUUUCAUUGUAGGUACUCCAACAGUCCUCUAGAGGGGCCUCAUCGAGCUCACCCUUGUCUGGCAACGCGGCCUCGAAAUUAGCCUCUGCAUGCUGUGAGAUUUUGACUUUUACUGCGAGCACUGUGUUCAAAAUUCCUGUGAGAGUGAGCAGGACAGCACCAAAACAGAGCUCGCAGUAAAAGUCAAAAGCCAAAGGAAUUUUGACAGCAUAUGCUGUGUGUACACAGGCUAAUUCUGCGCGUAUGCUGUGACAACAUCCGGUUAUUUCAGUCGCUCAAGGUUGAACCGUGGCGGUCGCCGGUACCGUACAUUGUUGAUGGCGGAGAGUUUUGGGCGCAAUUUGACCAUCACUAGGUAGUGGUCGGAGUUGAUGUAGGCGCCACGAUAGGUUCUGACGUCGAUACUGUCGGAGAAGUGCCAUCCGUCAUUCAGAACGUGAUCGAUUUUGGAUUCCGUCUGCUGUGGUUAUCUCCAGGUGUAACGAUAAGGGAGA
Long non-coding RNA from Aedes albopictus (Asian tiger mosquito), 3746 nucleotides. RefSeq lists it as uncharacterized. The record is from RefSeq and is a predicted model, not a curated record. NCBI's taxonomy places the organism in Eukaryota, Metazoa, Arthropoda, Insecta, Diptera, Culicidae. The transcript has 2 exons.